GAAAUAGAAAUCCGGUCGCAAAAUCGCCUGAAAUAGUACCCAAAAACUGAGCGGGAACAUUCUUAGGCGCUAAAAGGCAAAUAAAUUAAAAAUAACCUUAAAAAAAAACCCUAUUCCCAUUCCCCUGAUCGUGCAAUUCAUCUCUUCCUCACUCCCCCUCAACAGCUUGAAGGCUCGAACAAAACUGAACGCCAGAAAACUGAACGCCAGAAAUUGAACGCCAAGUACCACUCUUUCAAGUACUUCGUUUGCGAAUUGAGGAAAGGAAAUCUUGACUGGGGCUUAGCAGCGAUGCGACUCGUGAUUGGGCAAAACUAAUAGUAGCAAUGACAUGUGGAGGAGAUCCUUAUGUGAAGCUUGAGUUGGAAUGAUAUGGACUAACAUUGCGGGUUAUGACAUUUACUACAAUGUGAAAGAACUACAAUAGUUAUGGUUUUUUAGCUUUUGAAACUUUUGACAGAUUCUCUAAACUUUUUUAUCGUAUUGAACCAUUGGCUUAGAUUGUAGAUACUUUUGUUAUUGGUACUUGUGUUUGGACAUCUAUGUACUUAUGAAUUAUAUUUUAUCACGA
Long non-coding RNA from Beta vulgaris subsp. vulgaris (sugar beet), 571 nucleotides. RefSeq lists it as uncharacterized. Lineage: Eukaryota; Viridiplantae; Streptophyta; Magnoliopsida; Caryophyllales; Amaranthaceae. The transcript has 2 exons. The record is from RefSeq and is a predicted model, not a curated record.